RNAcentral lists this ribosomal RNA (321 nucleotides) under uncultured eukaryote. RNAcentral's name for it is "partial 18S ribosomal RNA". It matches the Rfam family "Eukaryotic small subunit ribosomal RNA", at positions 1470 to 1796 of the family's 1831-position model. The record is from RNAcentral.
CCCUUAGAUGUCCUGGGCCGCACGCGCGCUACACUGACAUGUUCAACAAGCCUCCUAGUUCGACAGGAUUUGGGAAAUCUUUGAACGCAUGUCGUGGUAGGGAUAGAUCAUUGCAAUUAUUGAUCUUGAACGAGGAAUUCCUAGUAAACGCGAGUCAUCAGCUCGCAUUGAUUACGUCCCUGCCCUUUGUACACACCGCCCGUCGCACCUACCGAUUGAAUGUUUCGGUGAAGAUUCCGGAUAGGACUUUUUUGAUUUAUUUCAAUUCUGUCUUAAAAGCUAUCUAAACCUCAACAUUUAGAGGAAGGUGAAGUCGUAACA